CCCUUGAGAGGAAUGAAUCUGGAAGUUGCAAAAAUCGUCUGCACCUGAUGGAUUUACAAUGACAUUUGGUUUCCUGGGUUA
RNAcentral lists this small RNA (81 nucleotides) under Peromyscus maniculatus bairdii (prairie deer mouse). Its description in RNAcentral is "Pvt1 onco conserved region 3 (ENSPEMG00000007324.2)". The record is from RNAcentral. Lineage: Eukaryota; Metazoa; Chordata; Mammalia; Rodentia; Cricetidae.